CAGGUAAAACCUCAGAUAGAACAUCAGAUAGAACAUCAGAUAGAACAUCAGGUAAAACAUCAGAUAGAACAUCAGGUAAAACAUCAGAUAGAACAUCAGAUAGAACAUCAGGUAAAACAUCAGAUAGAACAUCAGGUAAAACAUCAGAUAGAACAUCAGGUAAAACAUCAGAUAGAACAUCAGGUAAAACAUCAGAUAGAACAUCAGGUAAAACAUCAGAUAGAACAUCAGGUAAAACAUCAGAUAGAACAUCAGAUAGAACAUCAGAUAGAACAUCAGGUAAAACAUCAGAUAGAACAUCAGGUAAAACAUCAGAUAGAACAUCAGGUAAAACAUCAGAUAGAACAUCAGAUAGAACAUCAGGUAAAACAUCAGAUAGAACAUCAGGUAAAAUAUCAGAUAAAACAUCAGGGAUGAAGCUGUAAAUACCAAGGGCACAAUGCAGAUCUAUUGGCAAAUGAAAGAAACAUUGGAAAUGUGCCAUGCUCAUGCUUGCCAUGCUCAUAGACAAAACACAGCAACGUUGUUUUCCAUAACGUAUGUCACCAUUACAAAUAUCAUCAGG
Long non-coding RNA from Oncorhynchus keta (chum salmon), 565 nucleotides. RefSeq lists it as uncharacterized. Lineage: Eukaryota; Metazoa; Chordata; Actinopteri; Salmoniformes; Salmonidae. The transcript is spliced from 4 exons. The record is from RefSeq and is a predicted model, not a curated record.